CCCAGCUGCAGGCAACUGCCUAGGUUGCAUUGUACCUAGGCAAGUGUCACACUGCUGGAAGAAAAGCAGCUCAUAGCUGGCAGGCCUCCUGAGCCUGGUUAAUGCCAAAUUUGUGUUAACCACACCAGUGUGCCUAUUCU
This 140-nucleotide small nucleolar RNA is filed under the name Ochotona princeps (American pika). RNAcentral describes it as "Small nucleolar RNA SNORA74 (ENSOPRG00000022787.1)". The record is from RNAcentral. Lineage: Eukaryota; Metazoa; Chordata; Mammalia; Lagomorpha; Ochotonidae.